CGGGGUCGGACUCGAACCAGAGGAGAACGGAGCGGAGGCGGAAAUCAAAUAGGGCGAUGCGGCCUUGGCGGUCUCCGGCGGCGAGGAGAAGGUGUUGGUAGUUAGUGAGGUCGUGGGGGAGGGGAAAGGGAGCCCAUCGGACAGAGGUUACGAAGGGGGAGAGAGACGAUGAGGAGGAGGAGGCGGCGGAGUUGGUGUUGGAGGAGGAGGUGCCGGUGGGAGGAGGCAUGGGGAGGACGGAGACGAGUUGCAUUGAGCGGGAGUCGACGACUGAGACGCUGCUGGAGGAGGGGAAGGCGAGGAGACCGGAGGGGUGACAGUCGGCGGAUCCGCCGUUGUUCCGGCUGGGAGGCCCCGG
Molecule: long non-coding RNA, 358 nt
Filed under: Vitis vinifera (wine grape)
Lineage: Eukaryota; Viridiplantae; Streptophyta; Magnoliopsida; Vitales; Vitaceae
Description: long non-coding RNA (VVIN_LNC003427)
Source: RNAcentral